CCCUUAGAUGUCCUGGGCCGCACGCGCGCUACACUGAUGCAUUCAACGGGUUUUACCUUGGCCGAGAGGCCUGGGCAAUCUUUUAAACCUGCAUCGUGAUAGGGAUAGAUUAUUGCAAUUAUUAAUCUUGAACGAGGAAUUCCUAGUAAACGCAAAUCAUCAAUUUGCAUUGAUUACGUCCCUGCCCUUUGUACACACCGCCCGUCGCACCUACCGAUUGAAUGGUCCGGUGAAGCCUCGGGAUAGUGGCCAGUUCACUUUAUUGGGAGUUGGCUGUGAGAACUUGUCUAAACCUUAUCAUUUAGAGGAAGGUGAAGUCGUAACA
RNAcentral lists this ribosomal RNA (325 nucleotides) under uncultured eukaryote. RNAcentral's name for it is "partial 18S ribosomal RNA". It matches the Rfam family "Eukaryotic small subunit ribosomal RNA", at positions 1470 to 1796 of the family's 1831-position model. The record is from RNAcentral.